GCUGUGGUUCAGUGGAAGCCCUUCUGCUUUGCAUACAGAAGGUCCCAGGUUCAUUCCCUGGUAUCUCCA
RNAcentral lists this transfer RNA (69 nucleotides) under Sphaerodactylus townsendi. RNAcentral describes it as "tRNA-Ala". The record is from RNAcentral. Lineage: Eukaryota; Metazoa; Chordata; Lepidosauria; Squamata; Sphaerodactylidae.